Molecule: ribosomal RNA, 253 nt
Filed under: uncultured bacterium
Lineage: Bacteria
Description: partial 16S ribosomal RNA
Rfam family: Bacterial small subunit ribosomal RNA
Source: RNAcentral
UACGUAGGUGGCAAGCGUUGUCCGGAUUUAUUGGGUUUAAAGGGUGCGUAGGCGGUUUUGUAAGUCAGUGGUGAAAUACUCCAGCUUAACUGGAGGGGUGCCAAUGAUACUGCAGAACUUGAGUACAGAUGAGGUAGGCGGAAUUGACGGUGUAGCGGUGAAAUGCAUAGAUAUCGUCAAGAACACCGAUAGCGAAGGCAGCUUACUGGGCUGUAACUGACGCUGAGGCACGAAAGCAUGGGGAGCAAACAGG